RNAcentral lists this ribosomal RNA (814 nucleotides) under uncultured bacterium. RNAcentral's name for it is "bacterial SSU rRNA". It matches the Rfam family "Bacterial small subunit ribosomal RNA", at positions 59 to 916 of the family's 1533-position model. The record is from RNAcentral.
CAGUCGACGGGAAUCUUCGGAUUCUAGUGGCGGACGGGUGAGUAACGCGUAAGAAUCUAACUUCAGGACGGGGACAACAGUUGGAAACGACUGCUAAUACCCGAUGUGCCGCGAGGUGAAACCUAAUUGGCCUGAAGAAGAGCUUGCGUCUGAUUAGCUAGUUGGUGGGGUAAAGGCCUACCAAGGCGACGAUCAGUAGCUGGUCUGAGAGGAUGAGCAGCCACACUGGGACUGAGACACGGCCCAGACUCCUACGGGAGGCAGCAGUGGGGAAUUUUCCGCAAUGGGCGAAAGCCUGACGGAGCAACGCCGCGUGAGGGAGGAAGGUCUUUGGAUUGUAAACCUCUUUUCUCAAGGAAGAAGUUCUGACGGUACUUGAGGAAUCAGCCUCGGCUAACUCCGUGCCAGCAGCCGCGGUAAUACGGGGGAGGCAAGCGUUAUCCGGAAUUAUUGGGCGUAAAGCGUCCGCAGGUGGUCAGCCAAGUCUGCUGUCAAAUCAGGUUGCUUAACGACCUAAAGGCGGUGGAAACUGGCAGACUAGAGAGCAGUAGGGGUAGCAGGAAUUCCCAGUGUAGCGGUGAAAUGCGUAGAGAUUGAGAAGAACAUCGGUGGCGAAAGCGUGCUACUGGGCUGUAUCUGACACUCAGGGACGAAAGCUAGGGGAGCGAAAGGGAUUAGAUACCCCUGUAGUCCUAGCCGUAAACGAUGGAUACUAGGCGUGGCUUGUAUCGACCCGAGCCGUGCCGAAGCUAACGCGUUAAGUAUCCCGCCUGGGGAGUACGCACGCAAGUGUGAAACUCACAGGAAUUGACGG